This 36-nucleotide transfer RNA is filed under the name Tripterospermum taiwanense. RNAcentral's name for it is "partial tRNA-Leu". Lineage: Eukaryota; Viridiplantae; Streptophyta; Magnoliopsida; Gentianales; Gentianaceae. The record is from RNAcentral. RNAcentral also lists the same sequence under 3 other names.
GAAAAUCCGUCGACUUUAAAAAUCAUGAGGGUUCAA